GCCCCCCCCGGGCCUGGCCGCGGGCGACCCCUGGCGGCCCCGGCGGGCAGCGCAGCCCGGCGGCUGGGGCAACCCCCAAGGCCUGGGACAGCGGGGACACGCACGACCUGGCAAAAGGGGGCCGGUUCCACUCUGCAAGGGCCCCGACACACUAAAACAAAAAAAAAAAAGAAAGCGGGAAACUGUGCUAAAACGCGGUCAGCUCCAAAAUAUGAGCAGCCAUAUGUUUUUAUUUGAAUAUAACAAAAAUCUACAUUUGAGCCCUCCGUAUAGGCCUCCUGUCCCCCCUUAGGCCCUGCAGACAGAGAGACCAAGAGAGACGUGAGUGAGAGACAAAGGAGGAGGAGAUGAGGGGGAUUAGAGUGACGCCUCCCCUGGCGACCACAGGCCUCCUAGUCCUGGUCUGGCCCUGUCCCCGGAUGCCUCUAGACACCACAUCCUCUUCCCACAUCGCUGGAACUCAGCAGGUGCCCAGCAGGCUCUGGCCAGGCCCCAGCCCUCCACCAGGGGCUGAACUGUGAAGUCAUCCCUACCUGUACUGUCCUCAGCGGCAUCAGGAAGAGGGACAUUCCCUGGGCUGAGCCAUGAACGGAAGCAUGCCCCGCCCUCCAGGACUCCCGGCCCAGGUGAGACUGGGCAGGUGUCCGUACUCACCUGGCUCCGAGGCUAUUUAUAGACUCUGUGUCAUCCUCAGAAACAGCAGUUUCUCUCCACUCAGCUGAAGUGGCUUCUCAUCCAGGGUGUUAAUGGUUUUUGUCACCUGGGGAUCCCGUAGGAUUCCUUUAGGUGUCAUAGAGCCAAAGAACAGACAGGUGAUGCUGACAUUCAGGGCUGACAAAUUCGGAUGCCUGCGGGGGCUGGGCAGUGACACACACAAGUGAAGCAUACUGGGCGAGGUCUAGGGAGUGAGGGGGCACUGCGCUGUGUCCACACCCCAGGUAAAGGGGCCGCUGCUGCCCCGGCCAGCCAACUGUGUGUGUGAGACUAGGGACCCAGUAGAGCCAAGAUCUUCUCCUUUUUCAAUAAAAGCUGAAAACCUCAGGUUUUAUGGGAAUCU
Molecule: long non-coding RNA, 1057 nt
Filed under: Canis lupus dingo (dingo)
Lineage: Eukaryota; Metazoa; Chordata; Mammalia; Carnivora; Canidae
Description: lncRNA (ENSCAFG00020014449.1)
Source: RNAcentral